GACCCGUAAUCCGGGUUGCGGACAGUGUCUGGUGGGUAGUUUGACUGGGGCGGUCUCCUCCUAAAGAGUAACGGAGGAGCACGAAGGUUGGCUAAUCCUGGUCGGACAUCAGGAGGUUAGUGCAAUGGCAUAAGCCAGCUUGACUGCGAGCGUGACGGCGCGAGCAGGUGCGAAAGCAGGUCAUAGUGAUCCGGUGGUUCUGAAUGGAAGGGCCAUCGCUCAACGGAUAAAAGGUACUCCGGGGAUAACAGGCUGAUACCGCCCAAGAGUUCAUAUCGACGGCGGUGUUUGGCACCUCGAUGUCGGCUCAUCACAUCCUGGGGCUGAAGUAGGUCCCAAGGGUAUGGCUGUUCGCCAUUUAAAGUGGUACGCGAGCUGGGUUUAGAACGUCGUGAGACAGUUCGGUCCCUAUCUGCCGUGGGCGCUGGAGAACUGAGGGGGGCUGCUCCUAGUACGAGAGGACCGGAGUGGACGCAUCACUGGUGUUCGGGUUGUCAUGCCAAUGGCACUGCCCGGUAGCUAAAUGCGGAAGAGAUAAGUGCUGAAAGCAUCUAAGCACGAAACUUGCCCCGAGAUGAGUUCUCCCUGACUCCUUGAGAGUCCUGAAGGAACGUUGAAGACGACGACGUUGAUAGGCCGGGUG
RNAcentral lists this ribosomal RNA (643 nucleotides) under Escherichia coli. RNAcentral describes it as "partial 23S ribosomal RNA". It matches the Rfam family "Bacterial large subunit ribosomal RNA", at positions 2230 to 2867 of the family's 2925-position model. Lineage: Bacteria; Pseudomonadati; Pseudomonadota; Gammaproteobacteria; Enterobacterales; Enterobacteriaceae. The record is from RNAcentral.